AUGAAAAUGCAUUUGAGUUUUUUUGUUCAGAAUUGCGUAUAAAAUGUGGCUGUUGAGCACUUUUUCGCGAUUGAGAUACGUGAACUUCGA
Molecule: long non-coding RNA, 90 nt
Organism: Neodiprion fabricii
Lineage: Eukaryota; Metazoa; Arthropoda; Insecta; Hymenoptera; Diprionidae
Exons: 3
Source: RefSeq, a predicted model, not a curated record